Scomber japonicus (chub mackerel) is the source of this 428-nucleotide long non-coding RNA. RefSeq lists it as uncharacterized. Lineage: Eukaryota; Metazoa; Chordata; Actinopteri; Scombriformes; Scombridae. The transcript has 4 exons. The record is from RefSeq and is a predicted model, not a curated record.
AGAGAAACGUGUGGGAGACGUGACUCUGACGUCUGUUUAAACGUGAGAUGCUGGGUCCCCCAUGACAGAGCCGCUGCCAUGGGAUGAAACUACCAACCCCCAGCCUUUUUCUUUGGAGUAAAGCAGUGUGGAGCAGCUGGCCUGUAGGGGGCAGUACACAGCAGGAACCAAGACUGAUGUCAGUGUUGCUUGACUGGUGUGGAGAACUGGAGUCCACCUGCUGGGAUGUGACCAGGCACUUCUGCUCAGCCUGAGUUUGAGGAUGAAAUUUAAAGACAAUGUUUUACUGGAAUGUAAUAUCUGUGAUGGUUGAAUAAAAUUUGAAAAAUCUGCAGCAACUGUUUCAUGGUUUAUUAGGCUUUUUCCCCAGAUUUGCCCACAUUAUCAGUGUAUUCAACAGAUAGUGCAAUAUCUCACAACUACAUGGC